AUAGGCCUGUGAUAUGCCUCGGGGCCAAGAAUUAUGUCGCUGAAACCCACCAAUUACGAGGGUUGCAACCCGAAAACGGCUUUCUUUCCUUCCACUUCUCUACAUAUACACGCGUAUAGAAAACCUAAGUAAGUCGCAACUUUUUUCAAUACCCAAGUCAACAACGCGUUCGUGCAAACAUUCCUUCCAGCCGGAGUACUUGCCGCGACACCAUAAAGCAUACAUUAUAAAAAUUUCCCCGAGGAAAAGAAAAUUA
RNAcentral lists this unclassified non-coding RNA (256 nucleotides) under Bombus terrestris (buff-tailed bumblebee). RNAcentral describes it as "misc RNA ENSBTSG00005025795.1". The record is from RNAcentral. Lineage: Eukaryota; Metazoa; Arthropoda; Insecta; Hymenoptera; Apidae.